Molecule: ribosomal RNA, 468 nt
Filed under: uncultured bacterium
Lineage: Bacteria
Description: partial 16S ribosomal RNA
Rfam family: Bacterial small subunit ribosomal RNA
Source: RNAcentral
GACGAACGCUGGCGGCGUGCUUAACACAUGCAAGUCGAACGGAAAGGCCCUGCUUUUGUUGGGUGCUCGAGUGGCGAACGGGUGAGUAACACGUGAGUAACCUGCCCCUGACUUUGGGAUAACUUCAGGAAACUGGGGCUAAUACCGGAUAGGAGCUCCUGCUGCAUGGUGGGGGUUGGAAAGUUUCGGCGGUUGGGGAUGGACUCGCGGCUUAUCAGCUUGUUGGUGGGGUAGUGGCUUACCAAGGCUUUGACGGGUAGCCGGCCUGAGAGGGUGACCGGCCACAUUGGGACUGAGAGACGGCGCAGACUCCUACGGGAGGCAGCAGUGGGGAAUAUUGCACAAUGGGCGGAAGCCUGAUGCAGCAACGCCGCGUGCGGGAUGACGGCCUUCGGGUUGUAAACCGCUUUCGCCUGUGACGAAGCGUGAGUGACGGUAAUGGGUAAAGAAGCACCGGCUAACUACGUG